GGAAAUGCACCAGUCCUCGGGGCACCACGAACAUUUCCCCUGCAGUCAAUACUUUGGAAUAUAACACGUUCUUCGUUGUUACGAACCCAACGUAGAUCUUCCCUUUAAUGACUACUCCGGACUCAGUUGCACGAGGGUGUGAAUGAGGUGGAUUUAGCCCUCCUGGGGCAAAGUCAACUCGAUUCAUCGAGAGACCUUGUGUGUUUAAACCUGGGAAUGAAAGAACGUUCCCCACGGUUGCACUGAAUCCAAAUGCAUUCUUAGUGUUUCCCUCUAUGGUUAGGCCAUCAAAGAAGAAGUCAUUUGAAGUAACUUGAGAAGCAGGUUUGCAAGGAAAACCGUUGAGAGACGUUGAUGUAUCGUUCAGAAUUGCAACACAGAAAUCCUGCAGGGGAUCAGGAUCAGCUGAAUCAGAAGGAAGUGGCAAGACUACUAGAAUAACCAACAAGAACGUCACGCGAAUAGCCAUGGAAUGAUCAAACUUGAUAGAAUAGUGUGUGACAAUGUACCCAAUGGCACAGUAGUUAAAAGGCCUAUUUAUUACUCAAGCCAGCAUUGGUGACAUUUCAUCAGCAAGAAAGCAACAUGCUAAAAUGAUAUCAUAUAUAUACAUAAAGAAAAGAGGUUUAGUUGGACUUUUGACAAUAGAUAAAGUGCAAUGUCUCAACUUCAGGAAAUAGUCAAUCAACUUGUUAGUAAAUUUAACUUGGAGAUUACGACCUCUGUGAAAUAUUCUACUACCAUUUGUCAAAGCUACGAAUCAUUCAACUCGUGGUUCUUCAUCCUAUGGUACAGCAAGUCCAUAGAGACUUCAGUCAAGACUCUGUUAUGGUCCGGGGGCCUCGUAUCUUAAUAGAGUCAAGUGACAGAUAAAGGUCAAGAGAAAGGGCUGACAUGCUUCUGAAUUUGGAGUACACCACAUAUAUAACACCUUAGCAAUGUGAUAGAAUGAUAAACGAGUUUUGCAAGGGCAUACCCCAAAAUACAAAUCUGUUAAGUAGGUUGGGCCAAAGUGAACAAUAUGUGUCAUGGGCUUGAAUCAUAAUACGUCAUGUUGUUAAAAGUUAAUUCUUUCAGUUGAGUUAUCUAAUAGUGAUGUUAAUUUCCAAAUAUAAUAAUUGUCAUUUCUUGAACACUUUAACAGCAACUUUUGACCUUCUAAUUGCUGAAAUAGAUAGGAAAGCUGACUUCUUGGAUCUGUAACAACACACAUUGAUGCCCAAAUGAACAUCAUUGAUGAUUGAUUAGGUCAUUUUAAUUAUUCAUCUGAAUAAAAUUUUAUUCUACAAGGAUUUGUUCCAUAAUUUACAGAGCAACACAUGUAAAUGCUCAAAGAUCAUUUCAACUAAACUAACCCUUUUUCUUUUCUCUUUGGGAUAUUUUUGUUUAAUAUUCAUGACAUUAUCAUCUAAAAUUCAUAGACUGGAAAAAGUCAUGAUAUUGAUUAUGAAUCUUAAUCAAUUUUCUUGAGAUGAUUACGUUGGAUAUUACUUUUCCAUAACGUAAUUAGAAUACUUCAUGCUGCAUAUAAAGAAAUUUCAUCUCUUGUGUUGAAAUAGCAUUCAGUACUACAGUUGAUAGGACUAUAUAGAGUCAACAAAAUGCUAAGAAACUGCACAAAAGGCUUGAGAGAAUCCCAUUAGUGCGCUUAGCCUUAUUUGAUUCGAAAAGAUGCAUUCUUGUUCAAAAAUAUCAACCAAACCAAACUAUCAAUUGUAUCUAGUAUGUCAUGUAUUUCAAAAGUUUAUGAAGAAACUGAUAUGUAUACUUCAAGAACUGUGAUCCAGAAUCAUGAGUUUCUAAACGAAGAGAAUGAUCUGAGUACCCAAAUCGAUACUUACAAAUGAAUAUAUUUAGAAUUCUUGUUGCCUUUCUGCAUUAUUAUUACACGAUACAUACCUGGAUAAUCUAUGUACCAGAUGAAAAUUUGGACAAAUACACAAAUAAACCUGACUACACAAAUUUGUGUUUUAGGCUUUUAUUUUCCAUUCUGUUUUUCAGGUGUUCUAGUUUUAAGAACCAAAUUUGGCUUUGAUGUCAUCAAUAACACUUGCUUCAACUUGGAAGGCCUUAGUCAACACAUUAUUAGGAAUUGGUGGCAUAGAAGCAAAUAGUGUAGUUGGUAGAACCACUGACCCUGGCAAAUGACUGUUAAAAGCUGUGAUUGUCAUUGCCUUCUCCUUACCAACAUUCAUUUGGAAAUGCACGAGUCCUCGGGGCACCACGAACAUCUCUCCCACAGUCAAUACUUUGGCAUGUAACACGUUGUUUGUUGUCAGGAAUCCAACGUAGAGUUUCCCUUUAAUGACUACCCCGGUCUCAGUUGCACGAGGGUGUGAAUGAGGUGGAUUUAGCCCUCCUGGGGCGAAAUCAACUCGAUUCAUUGAGAGACCUAACGUGUUCAGCCCUGGGAAUGCAAGAACGUUUCCCACGGUUGCAGUGAAUCCAAAUACGUUGUCUGUGUUUCCCUCUUUGGUUAGGCCAUCAAAGA
This 2491-nucleotide long non-coding RNA is filed under the name Solanum lycopersicum (tomato). RNAcentral describes it as "long non-coding RNA (SLYC_LNC001368)". Lineage: Eukaryota; Viridiplantae; Streptophyta; Magnoliopsida; Solanales; Solanaceae. The record is from RNAcentral.